This 439-nucleotide ribosomal RNA is filed under the name uncultured bacterium. RNAcentral describes it as "partial 16S ribosomal RNA". It matches the Rfam family "Bacterial small subunit ribosomal RNA", at positions 339 to 795 of the family's 1533-position model. The record is from RNAcentral.
CUACGGGAUGCUCCAGUGGGGAAUUUUGCGCAAUGGGGGAAACCCUGACGCAGCAAUACCGCGUGAGUGAAGAAGGCCUUUGGGUCGUAAAGCUCUUUUCUAAAGGAAGAUAGUGACGGUACUUUAGGAAUAAGCACCGGCUAACUCCGUGCCAGCAGCCGCGGUAAUACGGAGGGUGCAAGCGUUGUUCGGAUUUACUGGGCGUAAAGGGCGCGUAGGCGGCCUGGCAAGUUACGGGUGAAAUCCCGGGGCUCAACCCCGGAACUGCUCGUAAAACUGCCAAGCUAGAGAUGGUCAGAGGCGGGUGGAAUUCCAGGUGUAGAGGUGAAAUUCGUAGAUAUCUGGAGGAACACCGGUGGCGAAGGCGGCCCGCUGGGGCCAUUCUGACGCUGAGGCGCGAAAGCGUGGGGAGCGAACGGGAUUAGAUACCCCAGUAGUC